This 427-nucleotide RNase P RNA is filed under the name Ignavibacteriales bacterium. RNAcentral's name for it is "RNase P RNA component class A". It matches the Rfam family "Bacterial RNase P class A". From Rfam's summary of the family: Ribonuclease P (RNase P) is a ubiquitous endoribonuclease, found in archaea, bacteria and eukarya as well as chloroplasts and mitochondria. Its best characterised activity is the generation of mature 5'-ends of tRNAs by cleaving the 5'-leader elements of precursor-tRNAs. Lineage: Bacteria; Pseudomonadati; Ignavibacteriota; Ignavibacteria; Ignavibacteriales. The record is from RNAcentral.
GCUUGCAAUCGUGCAAUCGUUCCCGAUAACAUGUUAAAUAUAUCGGGAGAGGAAAGUCCGAACUCCACAAGGCAAAGUACCUCCUAACAGAAGGGUAUCCCGAUUGUAAAAUCGUGGUAACGGAUAGUGUCACAGAAAAUAUACCGUCCCGUCCCGCUGUUGAAGCGGAACGGGGUAAGGGUGAAAUGGCGAGGUAAGAGCUCACCUUCCCGACAGUAAUGUCGGGGAUGACAAACCCUACUUGGAGCAAAACCAAAUAAGUCACGUGUAUGAGUAGCCUUUCUCAGUUCUAUGUUUGUAGAACCGCGUGGCGGGUAGGUUGCUAGAGUCCCGAUGCGAAUCGGGAACAAGAGAAAUGAUUGCAGUCCCGAUACUUGUUUUGCAAGGGUCGGGAAAACAGAAUUCGGCUUACAGAUUGCAAGCGCCU